AAACUUUCAACAACGGAUCUCUAGGUUCUCGCAUCGAUGAAGAACGCAGCGAAAUGCGAUACGUAGUACGAAACGCAAGUCGUGAAUCAUCGAAUCUUUGAACGCACAUUGCGCUGCGAGGCAUUCCUCGCAGCAUGCCUGUUUGAGCGUCCUUU
Molecule: ribosomal RNA, 155 nt
Filed under: Diutina rugosa
Lineage: Eukaryota; Fungi; Ascomycota; Pichiomycetes; Serinales; Debaryomycetaceae
Also listed under: 1 other name
Description: 5.8S ribosomal RNA
Rfam family: 5.8S ribosomal RNA
About the family: 5.8S ribosomal RNA (5.8S rRNA) is a component of the large subunit of the eukaryotic ribosome. It is transcribed by RNA polymerase I as part of the 45S precursor that also contains 18S and 28S rRNA.
Source: RNAcentral